RNAcentral lists this ribosomal RNA (189 nucleotides) under uncultured bacterium. RNAcentral's name for it is "partial 16S ribosomal RNA". It matches the Rfam family "Bacterial small subunit ribosomal RNA", at positions 338 to 524 of the family's 1533-position model. The record is from RNAcentral.
CCUACGGGAGGCAGCAGUAAGGAAUAUUGGUCAAUGGACGCAAGUCUGAACCAGCCAUGCCGCGUGAAGGAUGAAGGUCCUCUGGAUUGUAAACUUCUUUUAUAUGGGACGAAACCCGGGAAUUCUUUCCCGAUUGACGGUACCAUAAGAAUAAGCACCGGCUAACUCCGUGCCAGCAGCCGCGGUAAU